ACACUGUCACCAACACCACACCAUCACCAUCAUUACCACCACCACCACCAUCACCAUCACCACCACCACCACCAUCACCAAUACCACCACCACCAUCACCAUCACCACCACCACCAAUACCACCACCACCAUCACCAUCACCACCACCACCAACACACCAUCACCAUCAUCACCACCAUCAUCACCACCAUCACCAUCUCCACACCAUCACCACCACCACCACCACCACCAUCACCAUCACCACCACCACCACCAUCACCGAACUCCUGACCUCAAGUGAUCCACCCACCUUGAACUCCUGACCUCAAGUGAUCCACCCACCUGGGCCCCCUAAAGUGCUGGGAUUACAGACAUGAGCCACCUUGCCCAGCCCUUUUCUGUGAUUCUUUUGCUUAUUAGUUGCUUUUGCUGUUCUGAUUAGGAGGAAAGCAAAGGUCCUGCUUCCGCAAAUAUGGG
RNAcentral lists this long non-coding RNA (456 nucleotides) under Homo sapiens (human). RNAcentral's name for it is "HSALNT0381096". The record is from RNAcentral. Lineage: Eukaryota; Metazoa; Chordata; Mammalia; Primates; Hominidae.